GAAAAACGCGCCCUUUAAAAAUAACACGUGCGAGUAGAGCGGAGGGGCCGUUCUUGGGGCACGAGCGAGAGACGACCGAAGUGAAAUCGCGCGAGGAGCCCGGCCCUGACUGAGGAACCACGCAAAGAGGUGCUGAUAACAGAUAUGACCACCCAUCUGAUGGAUGGGGGGGGGAGGAAAAAUUCGGUGGAGGUGGAUGCGCCUCCCUACUUAUCAUGCUUGUUGGAGGGGGGCUGGCUUACCAAGACUACGACUGGUAGACCUGAGAGAGAGACGAGCCGGCCUGGUGCGAAUGACAUGCCCACACCACUCCUAUAGGAGGCAGCGGUGAGGAAUAUUCUAUGGUGGGAGGAAGGAUGCUGCAACGCCGCCUCGUGAAGGACGACCUUCUUCGUGUAGAACACCGCUAUCUCGGGUGACGAGCCGUGAAUGACAGUUGUGGGAAAAGAAGCGCCGGCUGACUGGGUGCCAGCCGCCGCUAUUAUACGUAAGGUGCGAGCGUUGUCGAGAUUUAGUGGGCGUAAGAGUUGUAGGCGGUUUGUCGCGUCGUUUGUGAAAACCAGCAGCUCAACUGCUGGCUUGCAGGCGAUACGGGCAGACUUGAGUACUGCAGGGGAGACUGGAAUUCCUGGUGUAGCGGUGAAAUGCGCAGAUAUCAGGAGGAACACCGGUGGCGAAGGCGGGUCUCUGGGCAGUAACUGACGCUGAGGAACGAAAGCGUGGGUAGCGAACAGGAUUAGAUACCCUGGUAGUCCACGCCGUAAACGGUGGGCGCUAGGUGUGGGUUCCUUCCACGGAAUCCGUGCCGUAGCUAACGCAUUAAGCGCCCCGCCCGGGGAGUACGGCCGCAAGGCUAAAACUCAAAGGAAUUGACGGGGGCCCGCACAAGCGGCGGAGCAUGUGGAUUAAUUCGAUGCAACGCGAAGAACCUUACCUGGGUUUGACAUAUACCGGAAAGCUGCAGAGAUGUGGCCCCCCUUGUGGUCGGUAUACAGGUGGUGCAUGGCUGUCGUCAGCUCGUGUCGUGAGAUGUUGGGUUAAGUCCCGCAACGAGCGCAACCCCUAUCUUAUGUUGCCAGCACGUUAUGGUGGGGACUCGUAAGAGACUGCCGGGGUCAACUCGGAGGAAGGUGGGGACGACGUCAAGUCAUCAUGCCCCUUAUGUCCAGGGCUUCACACAUGCUACAAUGGCCAGUACAGAGGGCUGCGAGACCGUGAGGUGGAGCGAAUCCCUUAAAGCUGGUCUCAGUUCGGAUCGGGGUCUGCAACUCGACCCCGUGAAGUCCGAGUCGCUAGUAAUCGCAGAUCAACAACGCUGCGGUGAAUACGUUCCCGGGCU
RNAcentral lists this ribosomal RNA (1339 nucleotides) under uncultured bacterium. Its description in RNAcentral is "bacterial SSU rRNA". It matches the Rfam family "Bacterial small subunit ribosomal RNA". The record is from RNAcentral.